RNAcentral lists this ribosomal RNA (451 nucleotides) under uncultured bacterium. RNAcentral's name for it is "bacterial SSU rRNA". It matches the Rfam family "Bacterial small subunit ribosomal RNA", at positions 1052 to 1504 of the family's 1533-position model. The record is from RNAcentral.
UCGUCAGCUCGUGUCGUGAGAUGUUGGGUUAAGUCCCGCAACGGGCGCAACCCUUGCCUUUAGUUGCCAGCAUUAAGUUGGGCACUCUAGAGGGACUGCCAGGGAUAACCUGGAGGAAGGUGGGGAUGACGUCAAAUCAUCAUGCCCCUUAUGCUUAGGGCUACACACGUGCUACAAUGGGUGGUACAGAGGGCAGCCAAGUCGUGAGGCGGAGCUAAUCCCUUAAAGCCAUUCUCAGUUCGGAUUGUAGGCUGAAACUCGCCUACAUGAAGCUGGAGUUACUAGUAAUCGCAGAUCAGAAUGCUGCGGUGAAUGCGUUCCCGGGUCUUGUACACACCGCCCGUCACACCAUGGGAGUUGGGGGCGCCCGAAGCCGGAUAGCUAACCUUUUGGAAGCGUCCGUCGAAGGUGAGACCAAUAACUGGGGUGAAGUCGUAACAAGGUAACCGUA